RNAcentral lists this non-coding RNA (32 nucleotides) under Homo sapiens (human). The record is from RNAcentral. Lineage: Eukaryota; Metazoa; Chordata; Mammalia; Primates; Hominidae.
UGAGUCAGAGACCUAGUGAGUUCCUUGGACUC